Molecule: ribosomal RNA, 253 nt
Filed under: uncultured bacterium
Lineage: Bacteria
Description: partial 16S ribosomal RNA
Rfam family: Bacterial small subunit ribosomal RNA
Source: RNAcentral
UACGUAGGGGCCGAGCGUUGUCCGGAUUUACUGGGCGUAAAGAGCGCGCAGGCGGUCAGAUAAGUCGAAUGUGAAAGCCCCCGGCUCAACUGGGGAGGGUCAUUCGAUACUGUUCGACUCGAAGGCAGGAGAGGGAAGUGGAAUUCCCGGUGUAGUGGUGAAAUGCGUAGAUAUCGGGAGGAACAUCAGUGGCGAAGGCGGCUACCUGGCCCAAUACUGACACUCAGGUGCGACAGCGUGGGGAGCAAACAGG